UGUGUGAACUGACGCGUAAGUCGCCCUUUUCUCUGCUAAUUUUAGUAUAAAACAAUAUAGUUCCCGUAUUUUACACUGGUUUAUUAUAGAAUAUUAAGAGACAGCAGGCGAUUUGCCGUCCUCGGGUUUACAGUUGUGUAGAAUGUCCCUGUUUGUUGUUUGCUGUUGUCGGUAUCGCUUCUCGGCCUUUUGGCUAAGAUCAAGUGUAGUAUCUGUUCUUAUCAGUUUAAUAUCUGAUACGUCCCCUACCCGGGGACCAUAUAUUAAAUUGAUUUUUGGAACAGGGAGAUGGAAUAGGGGCUUGCUCCGUCCACUCCACGCAUCGACCCGGUAUUGCAGUACUUCCGGGAACGGUGCACCCCUCUCUCUACUGUCAAAGAAAGAUACAGUCUGUGCAUCUGUCUGGCUGUGAUGUUCUCCAGUUCCAUGGAAGUUCGCGCUGUGCAGUUUGGUUGUGGAUUCCUGCAUUUGAGCUGUUUGUGAUCUCACUGACUUCACUGAAUGGUGUCUGUACUUUUACACAAAUCCUAAUUUAUCUCUGCCAUGAAAACCACACUCCCUACUCCGACUUUUGGCUGCAUUUUUAGAACCAAACUGUACCUGACAAACGCACAAUAAAGUCGUUUAUUUUCUGUAAACACACGUAGAGUUUAGUAAAUCUAAUCUGUCUUUAUUGGGCCAUCAGUCGAGGUCUCAUGAACUCCAAGGAAGCCUGAAUUAUAGCAUGUCAAAAGCAGAUUUAAAGGAUAAAUUAUAGUAUUUAUAGUAAGUAAACUAAAACCCAAAUCGUGGUCCUUGACACAACAAAAAGAUUUAUUUCGUGCGUGUGGCACCAGGUAUUUAAUCAGCGGCUCCAAAUUGUAAUAAUACUGUUAUUAAAUUAAAUAUAAUAAAUUAAAACAACAAUCACAAUUUGUAAUAGACGGACCUAUGUAUCCGGAACUAUGUAUCCAGACUCCCAUUACCGGUCGGACAGAAAUUUCCGCUCUCAUGCGUGUUUGUUCAUAGACUGUGGUUAUAUAGUCACUUGUAAUUGUAUAAAGUUCAAAGCUGCUUUUCUGCCCUGUCCCUUAUUUAUUCGCUAAAACAAUGAAUGGAAGUGAAAUGUCUUGUAGAGAAAGUGUUUUGUUUUGGCUGUAAGUCGCCGCCUGUCCUGUCCACACAGGGGGCGGGGCUAACUGUAGCGGGUCUUUAAAACAACCUUCAUGAAAUUGGUGAAAAUAUUUUACUGACUCUUACUGCUUGUAGCAAAGCGCUCUUUCUUCUGGACUGACUAUUGUUAUUUUAGUUUACAUGUUUGGAUUAAAAAAGCAGUUUCCUGAACACUGUGAAUCUUAUUACAUAUUCAGCAGCAGUGCAUCAUGGGAAAUAUUGUACUGUUUUGUUGCUAAGAAAAUAGACGACCACACGGCUUUAUGUGUAAUAAAGUAGUUGGCCCCGGGUGCAGUCACGCCAAAGCCUUCUGCGGUUUUGCCAUCCCUGUCUGCAGUCACGCCCACGGCUUCUACAGUUUUAUCAUCCCCGAUUGCAGUCAUGCCACCCCAACCCACUGACUCCCCAGUUGAGCUGGAGGGUUGGGUGCGUCUGUGGGGAAAAUCCUAGUGGCAUCCCAUCAGCCGACAUCUCCUGGGUGAAAAGCGAUGGAGAGAGAGAGAGGGCUCUUCACCCCCAUUCAGGUGUACCGUGAUAACACCGGUGCACUGAAGAGGCCGGCGGGUACUGAAGUCAGACCGGGUGUGGUUUCACUUUACAGAACUUCCAGGCUACAUUAGUGGUGCUGUACCAACCGCACACGUUUUCUUCCGGAGUCGCGUGUUUGUGUGGCGGCCAGUUGGGGUGUGGAGGUACUCAUUGAAGUGUCCCUGUGGUCAAGAGUGCGUGGGCAAAGGAAAGGACAUUUACCUUUAUAAGUUAUAAGGCUACCACCACGGGGUACUAUGCUAGUAUUCUAAUUAGAUUAGUUAUUUACAGUUGCAACAGAACAAUUCAAUGUUUUAUUAUGUAAAAACACUCAGACAGAUCAAAUAAAAUAAUGGACUGCUGUGUAACCAUGAGCAGCAUCCCAUAGAUUUUUGUUUGUUUGUUUGUUUGUUUGUUUGUCUAUGCAGGUUCUCUAUAUCUGUGAUGUAUCCAAUCUGGUAUACUAUGCUGACGGCGGUCUUGUGCUGUGUACCGUGCACCAAAGCAGCCAGAAGCGGGGAAGGUGGCAAGAUGUGUCGGUGGUUGGCAUGGGAUUCUGCUAUCAUGUGUCAACUUGGUGAAGCACACCAAGCCAUGUUCCCUGCUAUCCUGACAGACAAGCGUGGUGUGGACAAGAACGUGGUAAGACUUCUGUGGGACCGGACAGAACACACUUCAGACACACUUUUGAGGCUCCACCUCCUGCGAGAGAGCUGCUUCCUGCCCGUCUGCUCGGUCAUGCCUUCCUCCCGGCAGAGGCCAACAAUGUACGGGACUCCAAUUCUCUCCAAUUUUGGCACUGUGCUAAAAAUGAACUCCACUAAGAAGGAAAAUCUUAAAGGAUGGACCCAGUCCAGAGGAGGAGGUGGUUGAGCCUGGCCAGCCUGACCCAGAUGAGGAUGACAAGGCGUACCAGAGUGACACAGAGGCAACUGACGACGUGGUGGCUUCUGUCCCAGCCCACAUAACCUUACCACUGAUGAGACCACUAUAGCUUGCCCUCCAGCCUUUUAGGAGGAUUCUUGUAGUCCCAACCCGCUUCCAGGAUUCCAGCAGUUGGAAAGGUUCUGUUCUCUGCUGAUGGAGAUUGGCCUGACUGAGAACAAGUUGAGCAUAACUACAGAACAGAGGAACAAGCUCAUCGACACUUGGAAUGCCGUAGAAGAGCAUGACAAACAGCCACAAAAGUUUCAUCAUCUUUUCACCUUCAAAAAUGCACCAGCUCUGUGGGCUACGUGAAGUAUGUGGUUGACGAGCACAAAGCAGAACUCUCUAGCCCAAGUGGAAAAAAUUACUGGAUAAAAAACCAUCUCCUCAAAAGACAUACCUUCUGCACCAUGUCAGCCGUUGGUUGUCCCUCCACUUGACUACCCACAGACUGAGUAUGAACACAUUCCAAGCAAGGCAGGUACCAAGAUCUUGAAAGAAAGAACAGACAUUGUAAUGCCAGUUCCAAGGACUUCAACCCAGUGAGAACACCCUCACUUACCACUGCUGGUGAGAAGACCUGUUGGAACUGAAAGGAAAACUCUGGCCACUUCCACCAUCACCAAACCUCUGCCUACAAUCACUUCGACUACCACAACUGCACAAGUGAUUCCAGACACUUCCACCAAUGCAGGACCUGUGACAAUAUCCACCAGCCAAACUGACACAUCACACAGAGCCGGCACCCCUUCUCUCUGGGCCAGAGCUACACUGUACAAAAGAAAACAUACAGAGAACCUCACUCAUGUUGGAGCCAAGCUGUCAUGUGUACACAACUUGCCCAUUUGUAAACUUUGCAACCGACCAACUCAGGGGCACAAAAAAUACAAAAAGAAGACUUUUUGCCCUCUGAAAAUGAUGUCUACCUCAAAAGGAUUGGAAAACAAAGUGUACACGAGUUAUGAACAUUUCACCACGGUUGUAGACACACAGGAGUAAACUUGCAAUUGUUAGUGUGGACUUCUACUUGGACUACAGUGCUAGAACUAGUAUUGUGGCCUUUACUACUACUGUAGGAACGUUAAUGUGUCAUGAUGUUCCUUUUAAAAGGGUUACGCUGAUUUUAUUGAAUGCUGUAUUUGUUUUUCUUGUCUUAAAAUGUUCAUUUAUUUGAUCAAAGUCCGAUUUACAUGUGUGCGUUGAAUACUAUGUUCUUAUUUGAUUUUUUUUUUAUUGCUGUGAAGUGAUUAUCAUCACAGUGCCAGAUUUAUGGGUUUCUAUUGAAUAUUGUAUAAAAAAUUAUAUUCUUGUUCAGUAUUUUGUAUUAUUAUUCAAUAAAGCGAUCAUUUAAUUAUAUAAUCACAAAGAA
Molecule: long non-coding RNA, 3976 nt
Organism: Pangasianodon hypophthalmus (striped catfish)
Lineage: Eukaryota; Metazoa; Chordata; Actinopteri; Siluriformes; Pangasiidae
Exons: 7
Source: RefSeq, a predicted model, not a curated record